Molecule: small nuclear RNA, 126 nt
Organism: Pteronotus mesoamericanus
Lineage: Eukaryota; Metazoa; Chordata; Mammalia; Chiroptera; Mormoopidae
Product: U4atac minor spliceosomal RNA
Exons: 1
Source: RefSeq, a predicted model, not a curated record
AGCAUCCUUUUCUUGGGGUUGUGCUACUGUCCAUUGAGCAUGUUGUAAGAGCAGUACAGUUAAUGCCUAAACAACACAUUCACGUCAAGUAGAGCUCUGCUUUACAUUGGUGUAAUUUUUGGAAAA